GACGAACGCUGGCGGCGUGCUUAACACAUGCAAGUCGAACGGAAAGGCCCUGCUUUUGUGGGGUGCUCGAGUGGCGAACGGGUGAGUAACACGUGAGUAACCUGCCCUUGACUUUGGGAUAACUUCAGGAAACUGGGGCUAAUACCGGAUAGGAGCUCCUGCUGCAUGGUGGGGGUUGGAAAGUUUCGGCGGUUGGGGAUGGACUCGCGGCUUAUCAGCUUGUUGGUGGGGUAGUGGCUUACCAAGGCUUUGACGGGUAGCCGGCCUGGGAGGGUGGCCGGCCACAUUGGGACUGAGAUACGGCCCAGACUCCUACGGGAGGCAGCAGUGGGGAAUAUUGCCCAAUGGGCGGAAGCCGGAUGCAGCAACGCCGCGUGCGGGAUGACGGCCUUCGGGUUGUAAACCGCUUUCGCCUGUGACGAAGCGUGAGUGACGGUAAUGGGUAAAGAAGCACCGGCUAACUACGUG
Molecule: ribosomal RNA, 468 nt
Filed under: uncultured bacterium
Lineage: Bacteria
Description: partial 16S ribosomal RNA
Rfam family: Bacterial small subunit ribosomal RNA
Source: RNAcentral